AUACGGAGGGUGCAAGCGUUAUCCGGAUUCAUUGGGUUUAAAGGGUACGUAGGCGGAUAGAUAAGUUAGUGGUGAAAUCCCGAAGCUCAACUUCGGAACUGCCAUUAAAACUGUCUAUCUUGAAUUUGGUUGAAGUGGGCGGAAUAUGACAUGUAGCGGUGAAAUGCAUAGAUAUGUCAUGGAACACCGAUAGUGAAGACAGCUCACUAAGCCAAUAUUGACGCUGAGGUACGAAAGCAUGGGUAGCGAACAGGAUUAGAAACCCGGGUAGUCC
This 274-nucleotide ribosomal RNA is filed under the name uncultured bacterium. RNAcentral describes it as "partial 16S ribosomal RNA". It matches the Rfam family "Bacterial small subunit ribosomal RNA", at positions 523 to 796 of the family's 1533-position model. The record is from RNAcentral.